Non-coding RNA from Salmo salar (Atlantic salmon), 3722 nucleotides. The record is from RefSeq and is a predicted model, not a curated record. Lineage: Eukaryota; Metazoa; Chordata; Actinopteri; Salmoniformes; Salmonidae.
CUCAGAAAGUCAUGACAAAUCCAUCCAUGAGCAAUCGACCACGAGGGACGUCAUUUGUGUUGGUGCGUAAGUAAGGAUAGCGUCCGUAGAACUCAAUGUAUUUCGGUACAACCAACAUGGCUGCCACAUACGUGCUAAGAAAAUCGUCGUCGUUCAGUUGCAGCUAGUUAUGCCUGAUUAUCCUGUAAAGAGGAAGUCAUUCUAGGACCUGCUGUAAACACGUCUAGGUUACAGUUUUUAUUCAAUGGCAUCUUCCAUGAAUUCUCUGGAAGCGAUUCAGAAAAAAAUAGAUGCUGUUAAACUCUUCCUCUCUGUUUCACUGAGCAUCGCCAAUGCCCACACUGUGGAUUUCUACACUUGCGAUGUAUGGGACCAGUUCAUGGCUGUGCCACCCGUGGAGGUCUUGACAGAGAUCACUUUGAAUGGUGACCACAAGAGGGCGCCAGAACAUUACUUAAAUCAUGGCAAUGCCAAGAAGAUCACCUUUGGUUUCUGUGAUGAUAGUAAGCGCCUGGUGGAUGUGGCUGAGCUCUUGGAGGCUGCCUAUGCCCACUCCCUGCCUGGCCUCGGGGUCUGUGUGGGCCGCACAGAGCUACUGCAAUCCCUCAGACACACUGACAACGCUCAACCCCUGGAGGAAGUUCCAGCUGCUGUGGUGGAGAGUGAUGAGUUUAUGAACUCCAAGAAGUCCCACGAGGUGCAGGCCAUGUCAGAGGUGGUGGCCAGCCUAGCCCAGCGCUGCCGGGUCAAACAGGUGAUUGACGUGGGCUCGGGGAAAGGUUACCUGUGCUCCUUCCUGUCGCUGCGGUACGGCCUCCAGGUGUACGGCAUUGACUCGUCCAGCAGCAACACGCACGGCGCCCAGGAGAGGAACAGGAAGCUCAAGAAGUACUCCCGGGCCUACCAGAGGCACAGCAAAGCCAAUAGAACUCUGACAGUGAUGCCCCCUUCAGGCCAGGAGGACUUGGAGGAUAUUGCACCGGGUGAGAGAGAGAGAGAGGAUAUGGUUAAGAUGAGUGGGGAUGCAGAGAAGGAGGAGGGGAGGAGAGACGGGGAGGCACAGACCAACACAACAGGGUUAACAGAUCGGAAUGAGGAAGAUGCAAUGACAUCACUUACCUCCGCCAUUUUGUUAGAGGACAAUUCCCUUCCAGAGUUGGACCAAAGUGACCCAGCCUCAGCUCCAGAGGAUCCUUUUCUCAGUGCCCUGUGUGUGGGCAUGGUGGAGCCCACCUCCCCCCGGGGUCCCCCCAGUGAGUUGAGCCUGGAGGAGAGGGAGAGGAGGAAGAGGGAGAACCUGGAGAGGAAGGCUAGGAGCUGGGUUAACAGUGGUGGCAUGGGCAGCGGCAUGCUGUACUCACCUCUGACCUCCUACGUUACCGCGGAGACGGAGCUCAAAGAGAUUAUUGGGGAGUUAGAGGAUGCGGUCAUGGUUGGUCUGCACACGUGUGGAGACCUGGCGCCCAGCACCCUGCGCAUGUUUGUGGCCAAACGGGAGCUCCUCUCUGUCUGCAGCGUUGGCUGCUGCUACCACCUUCUCUCUGAGGAGUUUGAUCCCACCAGACAAGAGUGUCCAAGCAGCAGCGUGUGUGGUUUCCCCCUGAGUGGCUACGUGAGGGAGCAGUCCUGGUUCUGUGGCAGAAAUGCCAGGAUGUCGGCGUGUCUGGCUUUGGAGAGAGUUGCCAAGGGCCAAGGGAUUCAGAUGGAGUCACUCUUCUAUAGGGCCGUCCUCCAUGUGAUUCUAAAGGAUCACUACAGCUCCUUUAAAAGGUAGGUUUGGUCUCCCUAAUCCAUGUGAUUCUAAAGGAUCACUACAGCUCCUUUAAAAGGUAGGUUUAGUCUCCCUAAUCCAUGUGAUUCUAAAGGAUCACUACAGCUCCUUUAAAAGGUAGGUUUGGUCUCCCUAAUCCAUGUGAUUCUAAAGGAUCACUACAGCUCCUUUAAAAGGUAGGUUUAGUCUCCCUAAUCCAUGUUAUUCUAAAGGAUCACUACAGCUCCUUUAAAAGGUAGGUUUGGUCUCCCUAAUCCAUGUGAUUCUAAAGGAUCACUACAGCUCCUUUAAAAGGUAGGUUUGGUCUCCCUAAUCCAUGUGAUUCUAAAGGAUCACUACAGCUCCUUUAAAAGGUAGGUUUAGUCUCCCUAAUCCAUGUGAUUCUAAAGGAUCACUACAGCUCCUUUAAAAGGUAGGUUUGGUCUCCCUAAUCCAUGUGAUUCUAAAGGAUCACUACAGCUCCUUUAAAAGGUAGGUUUGGUCUCCCUAAUCCAUGUGAUUCUAAAGGAUCACUACAGCUCCUUUAAAAGGUAGGUUUGGUCUCCCUAAUCCAUGUGAUUCUAAAGGAUCACUACAGCUCCUUUAAAAGGUAGGUUUGGUCUCCCUAAUCCAUGUGAUUCUAAAGGAUCACUACAGCUCCUUUAAAAGGUAGGUUUGGUCUCCCUAAUCCAUGUGAUUCUAAAGGAUCACUACAGCUCCUUUAAAAGGUAGGUUUGGUCUCCCUAAUCCAUGUGAUUCUAAAGGAUCACUACAGCUCCUUUAAAAGGUAGGUUUAGUCUCCCUAAUCCAUGUGAUUCUAAAGGAUCACUACAGCUCCUUUAAAAGGUAGGUUUGGUCUCCCUAAUCCAUGUGAUUCUAAAGGAUCACUACAGCUCCUUUAAAAGGUAGGUUUGGUCUCCCUAAUCCAUGUGAUUCUAAAGGAUCACUACAGCUCCUUUAAAAGGUAGGUUUGGUCUCCCUAAUCCAUGUGAUUCUAAAGGAUCACUACAGCUCCUUUAAAAGGUAGGUUUGGUCUCCCUAAUCCAUGUGAUUCUAAAGGAUCACUACAGCUCCUUUAAAAGGUAGGUUUGGUCUCCCUAAUCCAUGUGAUUCUAAAGGAUCACUACAGCUCCUUUAAAAGGUAGGUUUAGUCUCCCUAAUCCAUGUGAUUCUAAAGGAUCACUACAGCUCCUUUAAAAGGUAGGUUUGGUCUCCCUAAUCCAUGUGAUUCUAAAGGAUCACUACAGCUCCUUUAAAAGGUAGGUUUGGUCUCCCUAAUCCAUGUGAUUCUAAAGGAUCACUACAGCUCCUUUAAAAGGUAGGUUUGGUCUCCCUAAUCCAUGUGAUUCUAAAGGAUCACUACAGCUCCUUUAAAAGGUAGGUUUGGUCUCCCUAAUCCAUGUGAUUCUAAAGGAUCACUACAGCUCCUUUAAAAGGUAGGUUUGGUCUCCCUAAUCCAUGUGAUUCUAAAGGAUCACUACAGCUCCUUUAAAAGGUAGGUUUGGUCUCCCUAAUCCAUGUGAUUCUAAAGGAUCACUACAGCUCCUUUAAAAGGUAGGUUUGGUCUCCCUAAUCCAUGUGAUUCUAAAGGAUCACUACAGCUCCUUUAAAAGGUAGGUUUGGUCUCCCUAAUCCAUGUGAUUCUAAAGGAUCACUACAGCUCCUUUAAAAGGUAGGUUUAGUCUCCCUAAUCCAUGUGAUUCUAAAGGAUCACUACAGCUCCUUUAAAAGCGAGAAGCGUGUGGGGAACGUCUACUCCAAGGCCACCUCAUUCGUGGACUACGUCUGGAGAGCCCUCCGGAGGCUGGAGCUGGACGAGUCAAAGCUGUCUGACGGUGUCAUACAGGGUUACCACGACACAUACCGACCCAGGAUGGUUGAGAUGGAGGCCUUUAACAUGCUGAAGGUGACUUUGGCUCCCUGCAUCGAGGGUCUGAUUCUCCUGGACCGCCUCUGCUUCCUGAAAGAACAG